This is a long non-coding RNA of Manis pentadactyla (Chinese pangolin), 1251 nucleotides long. RefSeq lists it as uncharacterized. The record is from RefSeq and is a predicted model, not a curated record. Lineage: Eukaryota; Metazoa; Chordata; Mammalia; Pholidota; Manidae. The transcript is spliced from 3 exons.
UGUUCCCCGGAUAGGGUGGGGGCUGAAGAAACGGGGUGGGGGUAGGAAGGGAAUGGCGUGAGCAUCCGGGUUCCGCAGUGUCGGCCCCGCCCGAGGGAGGGGUGGGACGUCCUCAGAGGGCCCCAGGAGCAAGAAGGGGCGGGGAGAGGUGGGCUUGGGAAAGUCGGAGGGCAAACCUGUCUUCCGCCAUUUACUCAGGAGAGCCAAUUUGUCCACCUUGUAGGGUCCUUCCCGGCAGGAGAGCAAACGAUGAAUAAGAUUGAACAAUAUAACGGAAAAUACACCGUUCAAAGUCGCCAAACUAUUAAGAGGAAAAAUAGUUUAAUUUUAAGAGAAAAUUGAAGCUCAUGAUCUACAUACAGUUCCUGCUCCCUGCAGUGGUGUGGACCCAGAGAUCAAGCUUAGAAGAAGACCAGACCCUGAUUUCACACUUCUGAUAGGACGAGGAGUUUUGGGAAGAAUUUGCGCUGUUCCUUGCAUCUGGCAAGUUUGAGGUCAUGGGUAAUACCUAUGUGAAGAAGGAACUUGGAAAAGGAAUCCUUCAGGAACUUGGUGCUAUAGAACUGAACACACGAGAUUUCUCUAGAAAUGUAGAACAUGGAAUCAUCAACAUAAUAUUGGUAUUUGAAGCCAUGGGAGUAAAUGAGCUCAACAAAAUGCUGAGCAUAGACAGAAAAAUCAGGAAAGAGUCAAUGUCUUCAUAAACAUCCACAGGAUGAGAGAACGAAGAAAAUUCAGUAAAAGAAUGGUAAUAAUAGAGACAUAAAAGAGUGUAAACCAAAAACUGCAAUUUAACAUCUCCAACCAUCGUUAGAAUAAUUUGUCUUUUGUUAUUUCUUAAUUUUCAAUAAGCCAAAGGAUUUUAAGGUGAAAACAGUUAUCCAAGAUAAAGUCUAUAUCUGCCCUCAGUCAAGGUUUGGUAGUUAUUAAUAUUAAUUAUAACAAAUAUCAUGUAUUAAGCAUUCUCUAGGAACUAGGCACUAUGCUAAGCACUGCACAUGCACUAUCUCCUUGAAUCCUGGCAACUCUGAGGUAAGUAUUAAUAUUAACUUCAUGUUACAACUGAGGAAAGAGUUGCAGAGUACUUAGGUAACUUGCCCCAAACCACUGAUUAGCAAAUAGCCAAGACUGGAUUUGUACUUAUCUUCUGGGGCUUGGAUCCCAGUAUUUACUAACCAGGCUGUAUUGAUUUACAUUUGCAAAGGACAUCACAAUGUAUAGAACAUUUUCACAUUUAUUAUCUUAUUUAAA